This 17-nucleotide unclassified non-coding RNA is filed under the name Mus musculus (house mouse). Its description in RNAcentral is "oocyte_clustered_small_RNA4981". The record is from RNAcentral. Lineage: Eukaryota; Metazoa; Chordata; Mammalia; Rodentia; Muridae.
UUUGGCAGGUACGGUGG